RNAcentral lists this ribosomal RNA (460 nucleotides) under uncultured bacterium. RNAcentral describes it as "partial 16S ribosomal RNA". It matches the Rfam family "Bacterial small subunit ribosomal RNA", at positions 338 to 795 of the family's 1533-position model. The record is from RNAcentral.
CCUACGGGAGGCAGCAGUGAGGAAUAUUGGUCAAUGGACGAGAGUCUGAACCAGCCAAGUAGCGUGAAGGAUGACUGCCCUAUGGGUUGUAAACUUCUUUUAUAAAGGAAUAAAACGAGGCACGUGUGCCUUUUUGCAUGUACUUUAUGAAUAAGGAUCGACUAACUCCGUGCCAGCAGCCGCGGUAAUACGGAGGAUCCGAGCGUUAUCCGGAUUUAUUGGGUUUAAAGGGAGCGUAGAUGGGUUGUUAAGUCAGUUGUGAAAGUUUGCGGCUCAACCGUAAAAUUGCAGUUGAUACUGGCAUCCUUGAGUACAGUAGAGGUAGGCGGAAUUCGUGGUGUAGCGGUGAAAUGCUUAGAUAUCACGAAGAACUCCGAUUGCGAAGGCAGUCUGCUGGACUGUAACUGACGCUGAUGCUCGAAAGUGUGGGUAUCAAACAGGAUUAGAUACCCUAGUAGUC